GAGGCUGUAGCUCAGUGGCAGAGUGCUUGCCUAGCAUACAUGAGGCACUGGGUUCGAUCCUCAGCAUCA
RNAcentral lists this transfer RNA (69 nucleotides) under Urocitellus parryii (Arctic ground squirrel). RNAcentral describes it as "Spermophilus parryii (Arctic ground squirrel) tRNA". It matches the Rfam family "tRNA". Rfam says of the family: Transfer RNA (tRNA) molecules are approximately 80 nucleotides in length. Their secondary structure includes four short double-helical elements and three loops (D, anti-codon, and T loops). RNAcentral also lists the same sequence under 2 other names. Lineage: Eukaryota; Metazoa; Chordata; Mammalia; Rodentia; Sciuridae. The record is from Rfam by way of RNAcentral.